Molecule: transfer RNA, 77 nt
Filed under: Candidatus Omnitrophota bacterium
Lineage: Bacteria; Pseudomonadati; Candidatus Omnitrophota
Description: tRNA-Arg
Rfam family: tRNA
About the family: Transfer RNA (tRNA) molecules are approximately 80 nucleotides in length. Their secondary structure includes four short double-helical elements and three loops (D, anti-codon, and T loops).
Source: RNAcentral
GCGCCUGUAGCUCAGCUGGAUAGAGCGCUUGCCUCCGGAGCAAGAGGCCGCUGGUUCGAAUCCAGUCAGGCGCACCA